CGGGGAUCUUCCGCAAUGGGCGAAAGCCUGACGGAGCGACGCCGCGUGAGUGAUGAAGGUCUUCGGAUCGUAAAGCUCUGUUACCAGGGACGAAGUAAGACGGUACCUGGGGAGGAAGCCACGGCUAACUACGUGCCAGCAGCCGCGGUAAUACGUAGGUGGCGAGCGUUGUCCGGAAUUAUUGGGCGUAAAGGGCGCGUAGGCGGUUACUUAAGUCAGGUGUGAAAUGCCCCGGCUCAACUGGGGAGUGCCACCUGAUACUGGGGAACUCGAGUGCAGGAGAGGGAAGUGGAAUUCCAUGUGUAGCGGUGAAAUGCGUAGAUAUAUGGAGGAACACCAGUGGCGAAGGCGGCUUCCUGGACUGUAACUGACGCUGAGGCGCGAAAGCUGGGGGAGCGAAC
Molecule: ribosomal RNA, 401 nt
Filed under: uncultured bacterium
Lineage: Bacteria
Description: bacterial SSU rRNA
Rfam family: Bacterial small subunit ribosomal RNA
Source: RNAcentral